AUAUAUAAAUCAAGCCUUCUCUUGUUGAGAGUGGUUUUGGAUGUGGGGGUUUGCUGGCCUCUUAAAAAGGGUUCAGCUCCUCUGAAAUGCAUUAGCAGAACAACCUGUCCAUUGGUGUGAUAACUAUCUAUGCCAUUGAAUGUGAGGGGCAGUUCAGCUUUCUAACAGUCCUUGGACAAUUCUUCAUUA
Molecule: unclassified non-coding RNA, 189 nt
Filed under: uncultured Cortinarius
Lineage: Eukaryota; Fungi; Basidiomycota; Agaricomycetes; Agaricales; Cortinariaceae
Description: sequence contains ITS2
Source: RNAcentral